This 387-nucleotide ribosomal RNA is filed under the name uncultured bacterium. RNAcentral's name for it is "bacterial SSU rRNA". It matches the Rfam family "Bacterial small subunit ribosomal RNA", at positions 30 to 418 of the family's 1533-position model. The record is from RNAcentral.
AGCGAACGCUGGCGGCGUGGAUUAGGCAUGCAAGUCGAACGGGAUCGGGCCGCAAGGUCCGAUUCAGUGGCGAAAGGGCGAGUAAUACAUCGAUCAUCUGCCCCAGGGCCCGGAAUAACACUUGGAAACGAGUGCUAAUGCCGGAUGGUCCAGCAAUGGUAAACGGCGGGGACCGCAAGGCCUGCCGCCCAGGGAGGAGUCGAUGCCCUAUCAGCUUGUUGGUGAGGAACGGCUCACCAAGGCAAAGACGGGUAGCCGGACUGAGAGGUUGGUCGGCCGCACUGGGACUGGGACACUGCCCAGACUCCUACGGGAGGCUGCAGUCGAGGAUCUUCCGCAAUGGGGGCAACCCUGACGGAGCGACGCCGCGUGCAGGAUGAAGGCCUC